RNAcentral lists this transfer RNA (77 nucleotides) under Zeugites hackelii. RNAcentral's name for it is "partial transfer RNA-Leu". It matches the Rfam family "tRNA", at positions 10 to 71 of the family's 71-position model. From Rfam's summary of the family: Transfer RNA (tRNA) molecules are approximately 80 nucleotides in length. Their secondary structure includes four short double-helical elements and three loops (D, anti-codon, and T loops). The record is from RNAcentral. Lineage: Eukaryota; Viridiplantae; Streptophyta; Magnoliopsida; Poales; Poaceae.
UCGAAAUCGGUAGACGCUACGGACUUAAAAUCCGUCGACUUUCUAAGUCGUGAGGGUUCAAGUCCCUCUAUCCCCAA